UUGGACCUCUGGCCCUGGGGCUCCUGCUGCUGCCCGUAAAAUCUGAAGACCAUAACCAAGACCAGAACUCCAUUGUGUCAUAUUGCACAAAACUGAGAAAGGGUGGAAGGGCAAAUGGAGGCACAGAGACAUGACUGAGGUCAUAUAGCAGGCCUACAUUUUCUAGAAGUUUACGAAUUAGUGGACAACAAAUGUUCUCUUCUUUUGAAACAUCAACCUUCUUCUAUUGACAGGGAGACAGAAUAUUCAUCAAAAAGUAACAGUGUAGGUAGAAAAAUACCUGGAAUCCACUCCGGCCAUCUGGUACCCCAAAUGAGCAAGUGUUUCAGUUUUUUUACUUGCACCAUCCCUAAAUGGAAGUGCCUUUUUUACAGAUUGUAAGAAACUUUAGAAGAGAAGAAAUAGGAUGCACAGUGAGAUUUGAAAAGUGACUUGGCCUCAAGCGGAACAAUUCAGAUCUGGCACAAAACAUGGAUCUCAGAAUCUCUUAUUGUCUUUGCCUCCUUCCC
Long non-coding RNA from Mauremys reevesii (Reeves's turtle), 509 nucleotides. RefSeq lists it as uncharacterized. Lineage: Eukaryota; Metazoa; Chordata; Testudines; Geoemydidae. The transcript is spliced from 4 exons. The record is from RefSeq and is a predicted model, not a curated record.